GACGAACGCUGGCGGCGUGCUUAACACAUGCAAGUCGAGCGGUGAAGCGCCUUCCUUUUUGGUGGGUGUGGAUGAGUGGCGAACGGGUGAGUAACACGUGAGUAACCUGCCCCCUUCUUCUGGAUAACCGCAUGAAAGUGUGGCUAAUACGGGAUAUUCUGGGUCUGUCGCAUGAUGGGUCUGGGAAAGAUAUUGUUUCGGUGGGGGAUGGGCUCGCGGCCUAUCAGCUUGUUGGUGGGGUGAUGGCCUACCAAGGCGGUGACGGGCAGCCGGCCUGAGAGGGUGGACGGUCACACUGGGACGGAGACACGGCCCAGACUCCUACGGGAGGCAGCAGUGGGGAAUAUUGCACAAUGGGCGCAAGCCUGAUGCAGCGACGCCGCGUGAGGGAUGGAGGCCUUCGGGUUGUGAACCUCUUUCGCCAGUGAAGCAGGCCUGCCUCGUUUGUGGGUGGGUUGACGGUAGCUGGAUAAGAAGCGCCGGCUAACUACGUG
This 494-nucleotide ribosomal RNA is filed under the name uncultured bacterium. RNAcentral describes it as "partial 16S ribosomal RNA". It matches the Rfam family "Bacterial small subunit ribosomal RNA", at positions 28 to 507 of the family's 1533-position model. The record is from RNAcentral.